Molecule: ribosomal RNA, 1026 nt
Filed under: Escherichia coli
Lineage: Bacteria; Pseudomonadati; Pseudomonadota; Gammaproteobacteria; Enterobacterales; Enterobacteriaceae
Description: partial 23S ribosomal RNA
Rfam family: Bacterial large subunit ribosomal RNA
Source: RNAcentral
CAUAGGUUAAUGAGGCGAACCGGGGGAACUGAAACAUCUAAGUACCCCGAGGAAAAGAAAUCAACCGAGAUUCCCCCAGUAGCGGCGAGCGAACGGGGAGCAGCCCAGAGCCUGAAUCAGUGUGUGUGUUAGUGGAAGCGUCUGGAAAGGCGCGCGAUACAGGGUGACAGCCCCGUACACAAAAAUGCACAUGCUGUGAGCUCGAUGAGUAGGGCGGGACACGUGGUAUCCUGUCUGAAUAUGGGGGGACCAUCCUCCAAGGCUAAAUACUCCUGACUGACCGAUAGUGAACCAGUACCGUGAGGGAAAGGCGAAAAGAACCCCGGCGAGGGGAGUGAAAAAGAACCUGAAACCGUGUACGUACAAGCAGUGGGAGCACGCUUAGGCGUGUGACUGCGUACCUUUUGUAUAAUGGGUCAGCGACUUAUAUUCUGUAGCAAGGUUAACCGAAUAGGGGAGCCGAAGGGAAACCGAGUCUUAACUGGGCGUUAAGUUGCAGGGUAUAGACCCGAAACCCGGUGAUCUAGCCAUGGGCAGGUUGAAGGUUGGGUAACACUAACUGGAGGACCGAACCGACUAAUGUUGAAAAAUUAGCGGAUGACUUGUGGCUGGGGGUGAAAGGCCAAUCAAACCGGGAGAUAGCUGGUUCUCCCCGAAAGCUAUUUAGGUAGCGCCUCGUGAAUUCAUCUCCGGGGGUAGAGCACUGUUUCGGCAAGGGGGUCAUCCCGACUUACCAACCCGAUGCAAACUGCGAAUACCGGAGAAUGUUAUCACGGGAGACACACGGCGGGUGCUAACGUCCGUCGUGAAGAGGGAAACAACCCAGACCGCCAGCUAAGGUCCCAAAGUCAUGGUUAAGUGGGAAACGAUGUGGGAAGGCCCAGACAGCCAGGAUGUUGGCUUAGAAGCAGCCAUCAUUUAAAGAAAGCGUAAUAGCUCACUGGUCGAGUCGGCCUGCGCGGAAGAUGUAACGGGGCUAAACCAUGCACCGAAGCUGCGGCAGCGACGCUGAUGCGUUGUUGGGUA